ACACACAGAAAAAUUUUUCGCAUUUUGUGUAUGCGAGUGAAAUGGUUCGCAGUUUCAAUUGGCGAGUCUUAGGUAGACUCGCACAUUACUUUUACGAAUCUAUGAUUGGUGUAAGUGUUUGAGCAAAUCAGUAUUUAUAGAAUUCAAUGUUUAAUUUCGGUCCAAUAAAUGUGAAAAUUUUCGAGAAAUAGUGCGAAUGA
Molecule: long non-coding RNA, 200 nt
Organism: Lutzomyia longipalpis
Lineage: Eukaryota; Metazoa; Arthropoda; Insecta; Diptera; Psychodidae
Exons: 2
Source: RefSeq, a predicted model, not a curated record